GGCAAUCAGCUAAGUUCUGAGAAGGCUGCUACUGCUUAACAAGCUGUAACUAUUCGUACUAGCACAAUUGUUAUUGUUGAUUUCUGGGCAGAUUUAG
Drosophila navojoa is the source of this 97-nucleotide long non-coding RNA. The record is from RefSeq and is a predicted model, not a curated record. NCBI's taxonomy places the organism in Eukaryota, Metazoa, Arthropoda, Insecta, Diptera, Drosophilidae.